CCGGUGGUGGUAGCAAUGACGAUGAUGGAGCUGAAGAUCUGGUUCGUCUUCUCCGGUAUUUUUAUGAAGAUGGUGGCGAUAAUCAGAAUCUUUGCCUGAGAAAGGGGGUAAGGGAGACCGAGAUCAAGAUCAAAGUUCCGAAUCGAUUUUCCUGGUGGGUUCAUCCCAAUGACAUGAUUUUGAAGUGUAUGAGUUAAUCUAUGUUGUAUGAAUCAAGUGUUUGAGAAGGGAGAAAUCAGAUUUAUGAUGCUAGGAACGAUUAUUUUCAAAAAAGAAAUCAGAUGCUUGUUGUUGAUGGAUAUGAUUCUAGACAUCUUUUUAGUUUUUGGUUUGAUUGUUUCUUGAAGAGGAAGAUAAAAGGGGUGAAUACUUCUUGAUUUUUAAUUUCUUGUUUUGUGAAGAGAGAGAGAGAGAGAGAGAGCCCUUUCAUUUUUUAAUUAUUAAAAUAAAUAAAUAAUUAUUAAAACUUUAAAAAAUGAUUUUAGAAAUAGAAAAUAAAUACCCAAGGGUAUUAAAGUCAUUUCAGUUUACCGAGGAACCAAAUCCGCAACCAAACUAGCUCAAAAGGACCACGAAACCAAAAAAGUCGGAGUUUGGACUAAAAACCCAAAAAAAUUCAUACCACAGGGACCAUUUUUGCAAUUUUGUCUUAAAUUUAAAUCCAUUCAUCAUAUUCAUAUAUACAUAUAUACCUUGGUAUAAUAUCGGCAUCCUUUCUCCCCAUCUGUAACAACCAUAAGCUUGAAGUGAUCACGCCACAAUGACUUCACUGCUUCUUCGCUAUCGGCAUCUUUCUGUGUCAAGAAUGCCACCUCGUCGUCGCUCACCUACGUACAACCACCGUCCACCGUCGUCAUAGUGAAUUAUUUAGGUUUAAAGUAUGUGGAAAUUAAUACCUUGAUGAAAUCAGCUUCGUUCCAGAUACUCAUAAUACCAUGUCUGGCAGCCUCCGGUGAAGGCCAAAGAGGAAGGCGGACGUUAGGGUCGUAAGAGAGGAGGACCCCAGCUUGCUUGGCUGUUUUCAUGGCGGCCAUGUGAGCAGACCUACAGGGCUCCGUAAUGAGGCUGAUUGACCCGUAAUGGAAGAUCUUCGCAUUCUUAAUCAAAUCCAUGUUCAGUUCAGACUCUUUCAACAGCAUAUCAGCGCUAGGGUUCCGAUAGAACAUAAAUUCCCUUUCGCCAUUCUUCUUUAGCGUCACGAAUGCAAGAGCCGUUCUCGCAUGCUCAUCGAACAAAACUCCGUCCGCGUUUACUCCGUUCUUCUUCAGUAUGUCUGCUAACAUGUAUCCAAACUCAUCUUUCCCAACCUGUGUUCCAUACGUAAAUAGAAAUCCAUGAGAAUAAAACGUUAAAAAUUCCCAAUCUAAUCUUAAUCACGCAGAUGGCAGAUCCGAUGAGAUGAACGUGAAAUCGAUGAAAUGGCUGAAAUGUAAUUACCUUGCCGAUGAAAGCGGAGGAGCCACCGAGCUUGGUGAUGGCACAGGCGACGUUUGCAGGUGCGCCGCCGGGGGCUUUGAGGAAUCCUUGAGACUCAGCCAAGGAGACGCCGGCGGUAUCUGGGACGAAAUCGAUCAACAUCUCUCCGAAACACACAAUGGAUGCCAUGUCGUCAGGAUUGAUAAUGGAUUGAUUCUGUGUUGGAAAA
Molecule: long non-coding RNA, 1645 nt
Organism: Lactuca sativa (garden lettuce)
Lineage: Eukaryota; Viridiplantae; Streptophyta; Magnoliopsida; Asterales; Asteraceae
Source: RefSeq, a predicted model, not a curated record